RNAcentral lists this non-coding RNA (182 nucleotides) under Lachnospiraceae bacterium G41. Lineage: Bacteria; Bacillati; Bacillota; Clostridia; Lachnospirales; Lachnospiraceae. The record is from RNAcentral.
AAGCACCUGGAAUAUGACGACUUGCUAUUUUGACCCUACAUCACUUUAAACGGGAAUCCUAUAUCUUUAAAUCUAUGUCAGGCCAUGUAAGCUUUAUCCGUUGGAAGGCAGAAAUUUAUUUGCGGACACCCACCUAGCUAUUCGCUAGGAGUCAAAAUGCGAGAUCAUGUUUCGGGUUGUUU